UACGUAGGGGGCAAGCGUUGUCCGGAUUUAUUGGGCGUAAGGCGCGUGUAGGCGGCCAGGUAGGUCCGUUGUGAAAACUCGAGGCUCAACCUCCAGCCUGCAGUGGGUACGGGCAGACUAGAGUGCGGUAGGGGAGAUUGGAAUUCCUGGUGUAGCGGUGGAAUGCGCAGAUAUCAGGAGGAACACCAAUGGCGAAGGCAGAUCUCUGGGCCGUAACUGACGCUGAGGAGCGAAAGCAUGGGGAGCGAACAGG
RNAcentral lists this ribosomal RNA (253 nucleotides) under uncultured bacterium. RNAcentral's name for it is "partial 16S ribosomal RNA". It matches the Rfam family "Bacterial small subunit ribosomal RNA", at positions 524 to 776 of the family's 1533-position model. The record is from RNAcentral.